UCCCUGGAGGACUAGUGGUUAGGCCUUGGCACUCUCACUGUUGUGGCCCAGGUUGGAUUCCUGGCCAGGGAA
RNAcentral lists this transfer RNA (72 nucleotides) under Pangasianodon hypophthalmus (striped catfish). It matches the Rfam family "tRNA". Rfam says of the family: Transfer RNA (tRNA) molecules are approximately 80 nucleotides in length. Their secondary structure includes four short double-helical elements and three loops (D, anti-codon, and T loops). The record is from Rfam by way of RNAcentral. Lineage: Eukaryota; Metazoa; Chordata; Actinopteri; Siluriformes; Pangasiidae.